CGUUAAAGUGCUUUGUGCUGAAAUUGUUCUCGGUGCUGUUUUGAAUUUGAAAUUGAUUAGGAUAUAAGAUUUCUUUUUGCUUGAAAUUAUGUGGAGUUGUUCUUCAAUGUGUGAACUCUUGAUCAGAAAAGUUUAGUGUCCUAUGAAUAAGCUAGAUAACUGGUUGUGAUUUUCUGAAGUUAAGUGCUUUGUUGUCAGUGCUAUGCACUGCAGCUGUUCUGUAUUUGAAUUUGUUUAGGAUUUAUGAUUCUGUUUGGCUUGAAAUAUCGUGACGUUGAUCUUCCAUGUGUGUACUACUGAUCUGAAAAAUUUUAGUGUUCUUUGAUAAGCUAGAUAAAUUAUAGUGAGUUUCCGAUGUUAGGUGCUCAUUGAUGAGUAGUUUUCUGCCAUCUACGCUUUUGCAUGAGAUAUCUUUGUUUCCUCCGCCACAUGGGUUAGUGUGCGCCCUAUCCAGAGAUGAAUAGUGUGGGGCUAGUGUAGGUCCUAUUCAUAGAGGAAUAAUGUGGUAUGUUUCGGUAAGUGCUCUGUGAAAUGACUCUCCCCUUUUCAGUUGUACAAAGGGUUAUGUGUUUGGCCUCAAAUUGUGAUAUUUUUGCCUUAUGAGAUGUGAACAAGGCAAGACCUAUGAGAUGUGAAGUGUACUGUUUGAAUAUGUGAGCUUUGAUGUGAAUAAGACUUAACGUGUUUGAUUAGGAAUUUUAGAAUCAUGUAUAAAAUUAAUGUCUCGCACAACAAAUUACUAAUGUGAUAUUUUGUUCUCUGUCAGUUGGUUAGUGUAGGUCAUGUUCAUAGGAGACUAAUGUGGUAUGUUCCGAUAAGUUCUCUGUGAAAUGACUCCCCCUUUUUUAGUUGUAAAAAGGGUUAUGUGGUUUGUCCUCAAAUUGUGAUAUUUUUUGCCUUAUAAUAAGGCAAGACCUAUGAGAUGUGAAGUGUACUGUUUAAAUAUGUGAGCUUUGAUGUGAAUAAGACUUGAAGUGUUUGAUUAGAAAUUUUAGAAUCAUGUAUAAGAUUAAUGUCUCUUGCAACAAAUUACUAGUGUGCUUUUUUGUUCUAUGUCAGUUGGUUUAAAUAUCCGUUUGCUAAAUUUAUUUUGUUACCAUACUUUUUGUUAAUUCAUUGCCUGUGUAAUUGAUUGUUUUAAUUAGCAACGAACCAAGCAUGGGAAAUGCUCAUUGGUGAUUGAUUGUUAAACUAAGAAACAUAGGUAGGAGUUUCUGAUUUUUGUUCUACUUAGUUUUUAAUGUAAUCCACCUGUUGAGUGGUUUUGCUAAAAUGUUUUUGACGUUGUUAGCUUCUCUCCAUUAGGGCCAUUACCUAUUAUUCUUUAUUUCCAUAACUACAAGUGAUUUGUUGUGGCUA
This 1359-nucleotide long non-coding RNA is filed under the name Fragaria vesca (wild strawberry). RNAcentral's name for it is "long non-coding RNA (FVES_LNC005398)". Lineage: Eukaryota; Viridiplantae; Streptophyta; Magnoliopsida; Rosales; Rosaceae. The record is from RNAcentral.